ACUUAGUGGCGGACGGGUGAGUAACGCGUGGGUAACCUGCCUCACACAGGGGGAUAACAGUUGGAAACGACCGCUAAUACCGCAUAACCCGCCGGUGCCGCAUGGCACUGACGGAAAAGAUUUAUCGGUGUGAGAUGGACCCGCGUCUGAUUAGCCAGUUGGCAGGGUAACGGCCUACCAAAGCGACGAUCAGUAGCCGGCCUGAGAGGGUGAACGGCCACAUUGGGACUGAGACACGGCCCAAGCUCCUACGGAAGGCAGCAG
RNAcentral lists this ribosomal RNA (264 nucleotides) under uncultured bacterium. Its description in RNAcentral is "partial 16S ribosomal RNA". It matches the Rfam family "Bacterial small subunit ribosomal RNA", at positions 90 to 354 of the family's 1533-position model. The record is from RNAcentral.